RNAcentral lists this non-coding RNA (119 nucleotides) under Alexandrium monilatum. Lineage: Eukaryota; Dinophyceae; Gonyaulacales; Pyrocystaceae. The record is from RNAcentral.
CUUCCGCGGACUUCGUGGCCAUUGUCAGAGGGUUGCAGUUGAAGACGUCUGCGCGCAGACCUUAAUUUCGGAUAUCAAGAAGAAGGUCGAGACAGCACUGGGCAGGCCGGCAACAGAGC